Long non-coding RNA from Mustela erminea (ermine), 461 nucleotides. RefSeq lists it as uncharacterized. Lineage: Eukaryota; Metazoa; Chordata; Mammalia; Carnivora; Mustelidae. The transcript has 2 exons. The record is from RefSeq and is a predicted model, not a curated record.
UGCAUGGUAUCUGCCCUCAGCAGCUCAUUCCUGCUGGGUGUUCAAAGGACAGUGCAAUAGAAACUCAGUAUCUGGCAUCGUUGGUUUUCUUGGCUUCGUGCAUGUUAAACCUGGUAUUUUUACUGAAACAGUAUUCUUAACGGUUUUUUAUACUGCUCAGCUUGAGAUAAUUUUCAAGAGGAAGUAAUGCUUCUCCUUUUCUAGGGUGUUUGAAAUUGAGAACCAGACAGAUCCACACUCAGACCCUAAACAGGGCCCUGAAGUAAAGACAUUGGAUCCCAAAGAUUAUAGGAGUGACAGUGACAACUGUGGAUUGAUCAAGUUCUUUUUAAAAGGGCUGUUUUGAAGAUUAUGAUUCUAACUUUGGAGGAACUAUGGUGAUGAGCAGUGACUGGCAGUGGAAGUAAUCACAUAUAAAAACUCCUUAAAUAAAAAUUUAUUGGCUUUAAAUAAAAAAAAAA